UACGUAGGCAGCAAGCGUUGUUCGGAAUUACUGAGCGUAAAGAGUGUGUAGGCGGUGUUCUAAGUCUGUUGUGAAAUCUCCCGGCUUAACUGGGAGGGUGCGGCGGAAACUAGAAUGCUAGAGGAUGGGAGAGGUAAGCGGAAUUCCUGGUGUAGCGGUGAAAUGCGUAGAUAUCAGGAGGAACACCUGUGGUGUAGACAGCUUACUGGACCAUUUCUGACGCUGAGACACGAAAGCGUGGGUAGCAAACAGG
RNAcentral lists this ribosomal RNA (253 nucleotides) under uncultured bacterium. Its description in RNAcentral is "partial 16S ribosomal RNA". It matches the Rfam family "Bacterial small subunit ribosomal RNA", at positions 524 to 776 of the family's 1533-position model. The record is from RNAcentral.